CCCUCACCCGGAACUGAGAAGGAACGCUAGUACCUUCAGACCUGUCCCUCCUCUGCCGCAAUACCGAUAUCGCCCCUGAAGCCUGCCGAGAGCCCUCCGUUGCUUUCAACUGUAGGAAGAUUCGGAAUUCCCGCAACUUCCCCGAGUCCCUACUCUCCCCCAUUCGGCCUCCCCAGGUCGUAGUGACCCUGCCGUGCUCCCCGAGUUGAGUGAAAUGGGAGCAAAUAUCAGACUUCCCAGAGAGGUUGAUUGCAGAGUUGAGGACGCGCCUGGAUGGGCUGCCCCGGCCUAGAGAGGGUGUGCGAGUUCCUUUAUUCUCCCUUCCAGUACCUGCCAAGAACCAGGGGUUUGAAAUCUGCAGGGGAAACCGGAACAACAAACUACAGAGGAGAUGCAGAAUAGGACCAGUGAGUAGGUUGUGGUCGAUCAGGGGAGAUUUUUUGAGAGCUGAGUUUUGAACAGCACUGUCAUAUCCAGUUCUCACUGGCACCAGGAUUGGCCAGCAGGGUAAGAGGAAGGCGUCCUGGAGCAGCGGUUCACACAUUUUUUGGUCUCAAGACCCCUUUACACUGCUAGGCAUUAUUGAGAACCCUGAAGAGCUUUUGUUUAUGUGGAUUAUAUUUUAACCAUAUUUACUGUGUUGGAAAUAUGCACUGAGAAAUGUUUAAAGUAUUGAUUCUCACACACGAAGGUAAAGUGAUGCUUCAUUUAAAAAAAAGAAAAAGAUUCUCAGCAUCUUAUCAGGGAAUUGCAAACUAAAACAACGAGAUACCUAUUAGAAUGAUUGAAAUUCAAAGCACGGACAACAAAUGCUGGUGAGGAUGUGGAGCAACAGGAACUCUCCUUCUCUGGUGCUGGGAAUGCAAAAUGAUACAACCACUUUGGAAGACAGUUUGACAGUUUCUUACAAAACUAAACAAACUCUUGCCAUAUGAUCCAACAGUUAAUACUCCUUGGUAUUUACCCAAAUGAGUUGAAAAUUUAUGCCUACACAAAACCCGCACACAAAUGAAUGACAGCGUUAUUCAUAAUUGCCCAAACUUGGAAGCAACCAGGAUGUUCUUUCAGUAGGUGAAUGGAUAAGCAAAAUGUGGUACAUCCAUACAAUGGGAUCAGUGAUAAACUGAAAUAAGCUAUCAAGCCACGAAGAAAAGAUACGGAGGAACCUUACAUGCAUAUUGCUCCUUGAAUGAAACCAGUCUGAAAAGGCUGCCUACUAUGUGAUCCAAACUGUGAUAUCCUGGAAAAGCAAAACUGUGGAGAUAGUAAAAAGAUCGGUGGUUGCCAGGGAUUGGGAGAUGGGAGGGAGGGAUGAAAUGGGUGGAACACAAUAGAUUUUUACAGAAAUGAUACUAUUCUGUAUGAUACUGUAAUGGUAUCGUGGUACAUACAUGUAAUUAUACAUUUUUCAGAACCCACAGAAUGUACAACACAGAGUGAGCCCUAGUGUAAACUAUAGACUUUGUUAAUAUGUUAAUAUUAGCUCAUGAAGUGUAACAAGUGUAUCACAUAAUGCAGGAUGUUAACAAUAGAAGACCCUGGGAGAGUGUUGAAGGGAUGUAUGGGAAAUGUCUGUACUAUUAAAAAGAAAUCCAUUAAUUUACAAACAAAUGUUAGUUCAGCUCACAGUUUAAUUGCACAAAUGCUUUUUCUUAGAACAACUAUGAAAUGAUUGCAUGUGGUUAUGCAGAAGCUCUAUGUUCCUCUCUCCUGUUUGUUCGCACAAAAUAAAAUAAUAAAAGAUGUA
Manis javanica (Malayan pangolin) is the source of this 1747-nucleotide non-coding RNA. The record is from RefSeq and is a predicted model, not a curated record. Lineage: Eukaryota; Metazoa; Chordata; Mammalia; Pholidota; Manidae.